CUGGCGUCUGCAGCUUUCCUGAGCACCAGCUGCCCGAGCUAAACACGCCCGCUUUCCACGUGGGCGCCUUUGCGGAGCUGUGGCGUGGCCGGCUGCGCGAGCCGGGGAUGUGUCGCCGAGGGAGCCGCCGGCACCCGCGCUGCCCGGGUCGCGGACUGGGACCAGGAGGAUGUCGCGGUGGCCCGGGAUGUGGGCUGCCCGCUGCCCGCUGCCCGCUGCAGGCGGCGGCCGAGCUGAGGGCGGUGUGCGGGUGAGUCGGGGCCGAGGGGCUCUCGCAGUUUGGGGCCACCCGGGGUGCCGUCUUGCUCCUGAUGUUCUUUGGGAUUCGGCCCUGGGGGCCUGGGGUAGGAGGAUCGCGCUUUCGAAGCUUUCAACCGGCUGGCGCCUUCCUGGAACACCGGGAGGAGUCCCAGGACCCCAUGCACAGUUUCUGCGAGUUGGAGUGAAGGAACAGGACAGCUUCAUCAAAGGAUAGUUUUUCUGUUUUCGAAUUUUGCAGGUGUGUGUUAAUGAAGAAAAGCAAUGGAAUCUGGCAGAAAGAAACUUAACCAAGGUUAGAAAGAAGUUCUUGUAACAUUGGGAAGAAACCAUUGUGAUAGAUCCUGUCUGUAGACAAGAAACAUUUGAUUAUGAGAUGGAGUCACUUGCCACAGGAAAAACCUGCAAAUCCAGCAGACGUGAUUGAAGAAGGGGAGCUUAUCCUGUCUGUGGAUAUCUUGUGCCC
This is a non-coding RNA of Microcebus murinus (gray mouse lemur), 724 nucleotides long. The record is from RefSeq and is a predicted model, not a curated record. Lineage: Eukaryota; Metazoa; Chordata; Mammalia; Primates; Cheirogaleidae.